Molecule: ribosomal RNA, 640 nt
Filed under: Bacillus cereus
Lineage: Bacteria; Bacillati; Bacillota; Bacilli; Caryophanales; Bacillaceae
Description: bacterial SSU rRNA
Rfam family: Bacterial small subunit ribosomal RNA
Source: RNAcentral
GAAUGGAUUAAGAGCUUGCUCUUAUGAAGUUAGCGGCGGACGGGUGAGUAACACGUGGGUAACCUGCCCAUAAGACUGGGAUAACUCCGGGAAACCGGGGCUAAUACCGGAUAACAUUUUGAACCGCAUGGUUCGAAAUUGAAAGGCGGCUUCGGCUGUCACUUAUGGAUGGACCCGCGUCGCAUUAGCUAGUUGGUGAGGUAACGGCUCACCAAGGCAACGAUGCGUAGCCGACCUGAGAGGGUGAUCGGCCACACUGGGACUGAGACACGGCCCAGACUCCUACGGGAGGCAGCAGUAGGGAAUCUUCCGCAAUGGACGAAAGUCUGACGGAGCAACGCCGCGUGAGUGAUGAAGGCUUUCGGGUCGUAAAACUCUGUUGUUAGGGAAGAACAAGUGCUAGUUGAAUAAGCUGGCACCUUGACGGUACCUAACCAGAAAGCCACGGCUAACUACGUGCCAGCAGCCGCGGUAAUACGUAGGUGGCAAGCGUUAUCCGGAAUUAUUGGGCGUAAAGCGCGCGCAGGUGGUUUCUUAAGUCUGAUGUGAAAGCCCACGGCUCAACCGUGGAGGGUCAUUGGAAACUGGGAGACUUGAGUGCAGAAGAGGAAAGUGGAAUUCCAUGUGUAGCGGUGAAAUG